GCACUGCCCAGGCGGCACCCCUCCCCCUUUCCCACCCCGGGACUCGGCCUGGGCCCCCUGCGGGCUUAUGGAACCAGGAAUUCCCUUUUCCCUAACCCUAAUAGCAAUCAGAUGGCGCAAGUGGAAAAUCGCGACGCUCGGCGAGCGGGCUGGAAACUGGCGGGCUGCGGUACCGGGUGCCCGCGCUGCUCAGAGGGAGGAUGAGGCGGGGCCCCCUUCCCCUUGAGCCCCUGGUGGGGGGUCCUGGGAUGCAUUCAUGCCUGGGGCCCCCGCAGGCAUGGUAGGGGUAGGGGGUGCAGAGUGGGGAGUGCAGGAGCCAGCAGGGUGGCCAGGAGGAGGGGGUGGCAAGAGGGCUCCCCUCCUGCCUGGGGCCAACUUUCUCAGGGUCCAGGAAGCCCAAGGGAAUUCUGAGCUUUUCCUGUGGGAGCAUGGUGCCCCGACUGGGAGGGUUGUGCCUCUGUGGGCAUUCUGGAGGGAAAUGAGACUUGGAGCUGCCCCUGCACCUGCCCUGGGAGCUGCCCGCCUCCUGCUUGUCUUGGCCAUGUGCAAGCCUUAGUGUGGAAGAGGGAGCCUUGCACUGCUCCACUCGUGGUCCAGCUGGCCUCCUGGGGUCUGUUUUUCAGGGAUGGGGUGGGGAGGGGACUCUGGGAUCCUAGAGGCUCAAGGUCCACGCCCAAGGCUGAGAGAGAGGCUGGCAGGCGGCAGGCAGUGUGGUGACCUGUCCCCUCCUCUCCAGGGCAGCCAGCUGGGGCCCAGCUGGAACCCUUGUUUACAUGGGGAGGCCGGGGGAGGCUGAAUCCUGGCAAGUUCCAAGUGUAAUUGCGUUUGGACACUUAAAAGGAAUUGUGUGAAGUGGGCAGAGGCUCUGAAGUCCACCGCCUUAUUUGGUAUGGAAAUUUGUUUCUCUCAAAAUAAGCGAGAGGCGCUUGUGAAUGGGAAGGUCGUCCUGGCCUGGUGUGUGGAGUCCCCUUGCCGGGGGGCCUGGUGUGUCUGGCUGCUCGGGCGCAGGACUGCGGACUCGGGGGUUACGGGUGCAGGUGUUUGUUUCCUUUGGCUCCAGGGGCCGGAAGGCCAAGAUCAAGGGACCUGCAAAUUCAGCGUCUGCUAGAACCGUGGAGGGUGUAGAAGAGAAAAAGAAGAAGGUUCCUGCUGUGCCCGAAACCCUUAAGAAAAAGCAAAGGAUAGGCCGGGCGCGGUGGCUCAUGCCUGUAAUCCCAGCACUUUGGGAGGCCGAGGCGGGUGGAUCCCGAGGUCAAGAGAUCGAGACCAUCCUGGUCAACAUGGUGAAACCCCGUCUCUACUAAAAAUACAAAAAAUUAGCUGGGCAUGGUGGCGUGUGCCUGUAAUCCCAGCUACUCAGGAGGCUGAGGCAGGAGAAUUGCCUGAACCCAGGAGGCGGAGGUUGCGGUGAGCCGAGAUCGCGCCAUUGCACUCCAGCCUGGGUAACAAGAGCGAAACUCCAUCUCAAAAAAAAAAAAAAAAAAAAGCGAAGCAUCAUCACCGGGAAUACAGGCAGGUGUACAGAACUGAAAUUCGAAUGGCGAGGAUGGCAGGGAAAGCUGGCCACCUCUGUGCACCUGCAGAACCCAAACUGGCGUCUUUGAUCAGGACCAGAGGUAUUGAUGCUGUGAGCCCGAGGGUCCGAAAGGUGUUGCGGGGUCUUCCCCUUCGUCAGCUCUUCAGUGGAACCUCUGUGAAGCUCAACAAGGCUUCGGUUAACACGCUGAGGAUCGCAGAGCCACAGACUACAUGAGGGCACCCAGAUCUGAAGUCAGUAAAUGAACUAACCUACAAACGUGGUCAUGGCAAAAUCAAAAAGAAGCGAAUCGCUUUGAGAGAGAACGCUCGGAUUGCUCAGUCUCUUGGAAAACAGGGCAUCAUCUGCAUGGAGGAUCUGAUUCGUGAGAUCUAGACUGUUGGAAGACGCUUCAAAGAAGCAAAUAACUUUUUGUGGCCCUUUAAAUUAUCUUCUCCACGGGGCGGAAUGAAGAAAAAGACCCCCCAUUUCGUAGAAGGUGGAGACACUGGCAACAGGGAGGAGCAGAUCAAUAGGCUUUUAGAGGAAUGGACUAAAGCGUCUACCAUGAUUAAAAGGUUGAACCAAGGCCUAGCUGGCUUUCCUCAUAGUGAAAGGGACCUCUCCUUCAAUUCUGUUCCCCUCCUCCACUAGGCUGUACCUUUCUGUGUUGGAAGGUGCAUCUUAGGAAUCUCAGCAGAAGUCUACAUUCCCCUCUGUCCUGCAUGUGGUAGAACAUUCAUUUAUCCAUCCGUCCAUCUACCCACCCACUCAUCUACCCACCCAAUUACCCAUCUACCCACUCACCCAACCAUCCAUUUAUCUAUCCAUCCACCCAUCUACCCACCAAACCAUCCAUCCAUCCAUUUAUCCGUCCAUCCAUUUAUCU
RNAcentral lists this long non-coding RNA (2405 nucleotides) under Callithrix jacchus (white-tufted-ear marmoset). RNAcentral's name for it is "lncRNA (ENSCJAG00000081884.1)". Lineage: Eukaryota; Metazoa; Chordata; Mammalia; Primates; Cebidae. The record is from RNAcentral.